Molecule: ribosomal RNA, 898 nt
Filed under: uncultured bacterium
Lineage: Bacteria
Description: bacterial SSU rRNA
Rfam family: Bacterial small subunit ribosomal RNA
Source: RNAcentral
AGAGUUUGAUCAUGGCUCAGGAUGAACGCUGGCGGCGUGCUUAACACAUGCAAGUCGAACGGUGAAGCCCAGCUUGCUGGGUGGAUCAGUGGCGAACGGGUGAGUAACACGUGAGCAACCUGCCCUGGACUCUGGGAUAAGCGCUGGAAACGGCGUCUAAUACUGGAUAUGAACCACGAAGGCAUCUUCAGUGGUUGGAAAGAUUUUUCGGUCUGGGAUGGGCUCGCGGCCUAUCAGCUUGUUGGUGAGGUAAUGGCUCACCAAGGCGUCGACGGGUAGCCGGCCUGAGAGGGUGACCGGCCACACUGGGACUGAGACACGGCCCAGACUCCUACGGGAGGCAGCAGUGGGGAAUAUUGCACAAUGGGCGGAAGCCUGAUGCAGCAACGCCGCGUGAGGGAUGACGGCCUUCGGGUUGUAAACCUCUUUUAGCAAGGAAGAAGCUUUUGUGACGGUACUUGCAGAAAAAGCGCCGGCUAACUACGUGCCAGCAGCCGCGGUAAUACGUAGGGCGCAAGCGUUAUCCGGAAUUAUUGGGCGUAAAGAGCUCGUAGGCGGUUUGUCGCGUCUGCUGUGAAAUCCCGAGGCUCAACCUCGGGCCUGCAGUGGGUACGGGCAGACUAGAGUGCGGUAGGGGAGAUUGGAAUUCCUGGUGUAGCGGUGGAAUGCGCAGAUAUCAGGAGGAACACCGAUGGCGAAGGCAGAUCUCUGGGCCGUAACUGACGCUGAGGAGCGAAAGGGUGGGGAGCAAACAGGCUUAGAUACCCUGGUAGUCCACCCCGUAAACGUUGGGAACUAGUUGUGGGGUCCUUUCCACGGAUUCCGUGACGCAGCUAACGCAUUAAGUUCCCCGCCUGGGGAGUACGGCCGCAAGGCUAAAACUCAAAGGAAUUGACGG